This 2905-nucleotide ribosomal RNA is filed under the name Clostridium perfringens. RNAcentral describes it as "23S ribosomal RNA". It matches the Rfam family "Bacterial large subunit ribosomal RNA". RNAcentral also lists the same sequence under 1 other name. The record is from RNAcentral. Lineage: Bacteria; Bacillati; Bacillota; Clostridia; Eubacteriales; Clostridiaceae.
GGUCAAGCUACAAAGGGCGCAUGGUGAAUGCCUUGGCAUCAGGAGCCGAUGAAGGACGUGAUAAGCUGCGAUAAGCUUCGGGUAGGCGCACAUAGCCUGAGAUCCGAAGAUCUCCGAAUGAGGAAACUCACAUGGGAAACCCCAUGUAUCAUUAAGUGAAUACAUAGCUUAAUGAAGGUAACCCAGGGAACUGAAACAUCUAAGUACCUGGAGGAAGAGAAAGAAAAAUCGAUUUUCUUAGUAGCGGCGAGCGAAAGGGAAAGAGCCCAAACCGGAAACUUGUUUCCGGGGUUGUGGACAUAGCAUUAAAGUGGAGGCUAUUGUAACUGAAGAGAACUGGAAAGUUCCACCGUAGAAGGUAAUAGUCCUGUAAGUGAAACGAGAAGACCACGAGUUAUGAUCCAGAGUACCACGAGACACGUGAAACCUUGUGGGAAGCAGGGAGGACCACCUCCCAAGGCUAAAUACUACCUGAUGACCGAUAGUGAAGCAGUACCGUGAGGGAAAGGUGAAAAGAACCCCGGGAGGGGAGUGAAAUAGAACCUGAAACCGUGUGCCUACAACCGCUCAGAGCCCCUUAUGAGGGUGAUGAGGUGCUUUUUGUAGAACGAGCCAACGAGUUACGGUAUGUAGCAAGGUUAAGUACUUAAGGUACGGAGCCGAAGGGAAACCGAGUCUGAAUAGGGCGACUAGUUGCAUGCCGUAGACCCGAAACCGGGUGACCUAUCCAUGGCCAGGUUGAAGCGAGGGUAAAACCUCGUGGAGGACCGAACCACGUUGCUGUUGAAAAAGCAUGGGAUGAGCUGUGGAUAGCGGAGAAAUUCCAAUCGAACCCGGAGAUAGCUGGUUCUCUCCGAAAUAGCUUUAGGGCUAGCGUCGAGUAUGAGUAGUGGAGGUAGAGCACUGAAUGGGCUAGGGGGCAUAGCGCUUACCGAACCUUAUCAAACUCCGAAUGCCACAUACUUUGAGCUCGGCAGUCAGACUACGAAUGAUAAGAUCCGUGGUCAAAAGGGAAACAGCCCAGAUCGUCAGCUAAGGUCCCAAAGUGUAAGUUAAGUGGGAAAGGAUGUGAGAUUUCUAAGACAACUAGGAUGUUGGCUUAGAAGCAGCCAUUCAUUAAAAGAGUGCGUAAUAGCUCACUAGUCGAGAGAUCUUGCGCCGAAAAUGUAACGGGGCUAAACUUACCACCGAAGCUACGGGCUUGAACUUAGUUCAAGCGGUAGGAGAGCGUCGUAACCGGGCUGAAGUCGUACCGUAAGGAGCGGUGGACUGGUUACGAGUGAGAAUGUUGGCAUCAGUAGCGAGAUGUGGGUGAGAAUCCCACAGGCCGAAAACCUAAGGUUUCCUCAGGAAGGUUCGUCCGCUGAGGGUUAGUCGGGACCUAAGCCGAGGCCGAAAGGCGUAGGUGAUGGACAACUGGUUGAUAUUCCAGUACCACUACCAUCGUUAUUAUCGAUGGCGUGACGCAGGAGGAUAGUGUGUGCUAGCUAUUGGAUGCUAGUCUAAGCGUUUAGGCAGUGAGAGUAGGCAAAUCCGCUCUCAUAAUGCUGAGGCGUGAUGGGGAAGGUUCUACGGAACCGAAGUACAUGAUUCCACGCUGCCAAGAAAAGCGUCUAGAGAGAGAAGUAGUGCCCGUACCGCAAACCGACACAGGUAGGUGAGGAGAGAAUCCUAAGGCCGGCGGAAGAAUUACAGUUAAGGAACUCGGCAAAUUGACCCCGUAAGUUCGCGAGAAGGGGUGCCUACGAGAGUAGGCCGCAGAGAAUAGGCCCAAGCAACUGUUUAGCAAAAACACAGGUCUCUGCUAAAGCGUAAGCUGAUGUAUAGGGGCUGACGCCUGCCCGGUGCUGGAAGGUUAAGGGGAACACUUAGCGCAAGCGAAGGUGUGAACUUAAGCCCCAGUAAACGGCGGCCGUAACUAUAACGGUCCUAAGGUAGCGAAAUUCCUUGUCAGGUAAGUUCUGACCCGCACGAAUGGCGUAAUGACUUGGGCACUGUCUCAACUGUAAAUCCGGCGAAGUUGUAGUGCGAGUGAAGAUGCUCGCUACCCGCGAUUGGACGGAAAGACCCCGUAGAGCUUUACUGUAGCUUAGCAUUGAGUUUUGGUAUUGUCUGUACAGGAUAGGUGGGAGACUAGGAAACCAGGGCGUCAGCCUUGGUGGAGUCAACCUUGGGAUACCACCCUGACAGUACUGAAAUUCUAACUGGCGGCCAUGAAUCUGGUCACAGGACAUUGUUAGGUGGGCAGUUUGACUGGGGCGGUCGCCUCCUAAAAAGUAACGGAGGCGCCCAAAGGUUCCCUCAGAACGGUCGGAAAUCGUUCGAAGAGUGCAAAGGCAGAAGGGAGCCUGACUGCGACACCCACAAGUGGAGCAGGGACGAAAGUCGGGCUUAGUGAUCCGGUGGUACCUCGUGGGAGGGCCAUCGCUCAACGGAUAAAAGCUACCUCGGGGAUAACAGGCUGAUCUCCCCCAAGAGUCCACAUCGACGGGGAGGUUUGGCACCUCGAUGUCGGCUCGUCGCAUCCUGGGGCUGAAGUAGGUCCCAAGGGUUGGGCUGUUCGCCCAUUAAAGCGGCACGCGAGCUGGGUUCAGAACGUCGUGAGACAGUUCGGUCCCUAUCCGUCGCGGGCGUAGGAAAUUUGAGAGGAGCUGUCCUUAGUACGAGAGGACCGGGAUGGACUGACCUCUGGUGUACCAGUUGUUCCGCCAGGAGCACAGCUGGGUAGCUAAGUCGGGAAUGGAUAAACGCUGAAAGCAUCUAAGCGUGAAGCCAACCUCAAGAUGAGAUUUCCCAUAGCGUAAGCUAGUAAGAUCCCUUGAAGAACACAAGGUUGAUAGGUCGGGGGUGUAAGCAUGGUAACAUGUUCAGCUGACCGAUACUAAUAGAUCGAGGGCUUGACCAA